UAAUUUGAUGUAUGUUGGUGUUUUCCCGU
This 29-nucleotide non-coding RNA is filed under the name Rattus norvegicus (Norway rat). The record is from RNAcentral. Lineage: Eukaryota; Metazoa; Chordata; Mammalia; Rodentia; Muridae.